GGAAAAAUCAAACAACCCUAUCAAAAAGUGGGCAAAGGACAUGAACAGAAACUUCUCAAAAGAAGACAGAAAAGAAGGAUGCGAAGGUGGCUAUGGCAAAGGCUCAAGCCGUUGGGGCCCUCAGAGGCAGGUGAUAAUGAAAGGCUUAUAUUUUCAACAGAGUUCCACAAAUGAAGAAACAAGAUUUGUAUUUCAAGAAAGGGAAAAUCUCCCUGUUACUCAGGAUAACUUUGUGAAACUUCAAGUUAAAGCUUGUGCUCUGAGCCAGAUAAAUACAAAGCUUCUGGCAGAAAUGAAGAUGAAAAAGGAGUUCUUUCCUGUUGGGAGAGAAAUUGCUAGAAUUGUGUUAGAGGUUGGAAGCAAGGUAUCAUUCUUUCAACCAGAUGAUGAAGUAGUCGGAAUUUUGCCCCUGGAUUCUGAAGACCCUGGACUUUGUGAAGUUGUUAGAGUAUAUGAGCACUACUUGGUUCAUAAACCAGAAAAGGUUACCUGGACAGAAGCAGCUGGAACUAUUCGGGAUGGAGUACGAGCCUAUAUAGCUCUGCAUCUUUCUCAUCUCUCUCCUGGAAAAUCAGUGCUGAUCAUGGGUGGAGCAAGUGCAUUUGGUACAAUAGCUAUUCAGUUAGCACCCCAUAGGGGAGCCAAAGUGAUUUCAACUGCAUGCAGCCUUGAAGACAAGCAGUUCCUUGAAAGACUUAGGCCUUCUGUAGCCAGAGUGAUUGAUGUAUCUAAUGGGAAAGUCCAUGUUGCUGAAAGCUGUUUGGAAGAAACAGGUGGCCUGGGAGUAGAUAUUGUCCUAGAUGUUGGAGUGAGAUUAUAUAGUAAAAAUGAUGAACCAGCUGUAAAAUUACAACUACUGCCACAUAAACAUGAUAUCAUCACACUUCUUGGUGUUGGAGGCCAUUGGGUAACAACAGAAGAAAACCUUCAGUUGGAUCUUCCGGACAGCCAUUGUCUUUUCUUCAAGGGAGCAACGGUAGAUUUCCUUAAUGAUGAAGUUUGGAAUUUGUCAAAUGUACAACAGAGAAAAUAUCUUUGUAUCUUAAAAGAUGUGGUGGAGAAGUUAUCAACUGGUGUUUUUAGACCUCAGUUGGAUGAACCCAUUCCACUAUAUGAGGCGAAAGUUUCCGUGGAAGUUGUUCAGAAAAAUCAAGGAAGAAAAAAGCAAGUCGUUCAAUUUUAAUUUUCUUCUUUCUCAAAACUUCAGUUGGGAAGUAUUUGAAAAAUUAUUGUGCAGACGAUCAAGAUAAUUCUGUGACAUCUAAAGGGAUAGUCUAAAAACAUUUUUAAUUAUUGUUUCUGUACAAAAAAAAAAGACAGAAUAAUGGCCAACAAAUAGAUGAAAA
Non-coding RNA from Microcebus murinus (gray mouse lemur), 1346 nucleotides. The record is from RefSeq and is a predicted model, not a curated record. Lineage: Eukaryota; Metazoa; Chordata; Mammalia; Primates; Cheirogaleidae.